UAUGACCACAUCAUGUUGAAACACCAAUUCCUGUACGAUCACCAGUUAAGCAAUGUUGAGUCUGGUCAGUACCUAGAUGAGUGACCACUUGAGAAUACUAAGUGCUGUAAG
Molecule: non-coding RNA, 111 nt
Organism: Acanthosepion pharaonis
Lineage: Eukaryota; Metazoa; Mollusca; Cephalopoda; Sepiida; Sepiidae
Source: the annotation of a GenBank genome assembly